RNAcentral lists this ribosomal RNA (492 nucleotides) under uncultured bacterium. RNAcentral describes it as "partial 16S ribosomal RNA". It matches the Rfam family "Bacterial small subunit ribosomal RNA", at positions 29 to 507 of the family's 1533-position model. The record is from RNAcentral.
AGUGAACGCUGGCGGUAGGCCUAACACAUGCAAGUCGAACGGCAGCACAGUAAGAGCUUGCUCUUACGGGUGGCGAGUGGCGGACGGGUGAGGAAUACAUCGGAAUCUACUUUUUCGUGGGGGAUAACGUAGGGAAACUUACGCUAAUACCGCAUACGACCUACGGGUGAAAGCAGGGGAUCUUCGGACCUUGCGCGAUUGAAUGAGCCGAUGUCGGAUUAGCUAGUUGGCGGGGUAAAGGCCCACCAAGGCGACGAUCCGUAGCUGGUCUGAGAGGAUGAUCAGCCACACUGGAACUGAGACACGGUCCAGACUCCGACGGGAGGCAGCAGUUGGGAAUAUUGGACAAUGGGCGCAAGCCUGAUCCAGACAUACCGCGUGGGUGAAGAAGGCCUUCGGGUUGUAAAGCCCUUUUGUUGGGAAAGAAAAGCAGCAGGUUAAUACCCCGCUGUUCUGACGGUACCCAAAGAAUAAGCACCGGCUAACUUCGUG